This 31-nucleotide non-coding RNA is filed under the name Mus musculus (house mouse). Lineage: Eukaryota; Metazoa; Chordata; Mammalia; Rodentia; Muridae. The record is from RNAcentral.
UAAGAUAGGUGUUUGGAGAUGUCCUGUGUUU